AUUGAACGCUGGCGGCAUGCCUUACACAUGCAAGUCGAACGGCAGCAUGAUCUAGCUUGCUAGAUUGAUGGCGAGUGGCGAACGGGUGAGUAAUACAUCGGAACGUGCCCUGUAGUGGGGGAUAACUAGUCGAAAGAUUAGCUAAUACCGCAUACGACCUGAGGGUGAAAGUGGGGGACCGCAAGGCCUCAUGCUAUAGGAGCGGCCGAUGUCUGAUUAGCUAGUUGGUGGGGUAAAGGCCCACCAAGGC
Molecule: ribosomal RNA, 250 nt
Filed under: uncultured bacterium
Lineage: Bacteria
Description: partial 16S ribosomal RNA
Rfam family: Bacterial small subunit ribosomal RNA
Source: RNAcentral